UCUCCGUAGGUGAACCUGCGGAGGGAUCAUUACAGAGUUCAUGCCCUACCGGGUAGAUCUCCCACCCUAUGUUAUUAUUACUUUGUUGCUUUGGCGGGCCGUUAGGCUCCGGCCCGACUACCGGCCCCGGCUGGUAAGCGCCCGCCAGAGGACCCAAAACCCUGAAUAUUAGUGUCGUCUGAGUACUAUGUAAUAGUUAAAACUUUCAACAACGGAUCUCUUGGUUCUG
Molecule: unclassified non-coding RNA, 229 nt
Filed under: plant metagenome
Description: partial contains small subunit ribosomal RNA, internal transcribed spacer 1, and 5.8S ribosomal RNA
Source: RNAcentral